UCUUAAAAUUUUAUUCAUUUUUAUUAUUAAAACUUGCUGUGGCUAAUAGAAUCACCAGCCAGUUUCACAUAAAGUGCUACAUGUAUUUAAUUCUAGCAUACAUUGACCAAUUUUUAAUAGUAGAAUUGAAUAGAAUUUUUAAUA
Gossypium arboreum is the source of this 144-nucleotide non-coding RNA. NCBI's taxonomy places the organism in Eukaryota, Viridiplantae, Streptophyta, Magnoliopsida, Malvales, Malvaceae. The record is from Rfam.